RNAcentral lists this ribosomal RNA (448 nucleotides) under uncultured bacterium. RNAcentral's name for it is "bacterial SSU rRNA". It matches the Rfam family "Bacterial small subunit ribosomal RNA", at positions 329 to 793 of the family's 1533-position model. The record is from RNAcentral.
CGCCAGACUCCUACGGGGGGCAGCAGUGGGGAAUAUUGCACAAUGGGGGGAACCCUGAUGCAGCGACGCCGCGUGGGUGAAGAAGUAUUUCGGUAUGUAAAGCCCUAUCAGCAGGGAAGAAAAAUGACGGUACCUGACUAAGAAGCACCGGCUAAAUACGUGCCAGCAGCCGCGGUAAUACGUAUGGUGCAAGCGUUAUCCGGAUUUACUGGGUGUAAAGGGAGCGCAGGCGGCACGCUAAGCCUGAUGUGAAAACCCGCGGCCCAACCGCGGGAGUGCAUUGGGAACUGGCGGGCUGGAGUACCGGAGGGGCAGGCGGAAUUCCUAGUGUAGCGGUGAAAUGCGUAGAUAUCACGAAGAACCCCGAUUGCGAAGGCAGCCUGCCGCAGCGUUACUGACGCUGAAGCUCGAAAGCGCGGGUAUCGAACAGGAUUAGAUACCCGAGUAA